AACGCACGAGACCUGCGGACCUGCGGAGGGAUCAUUACCGAGUAAUCCUGCUCUGCAGGAACUCCCACCCUUGAUUACAAUGGCGUUGCUUCGGCGAGACGUUGGAAACAGCCAUCGACCAUGUCGAUGUGUGCUCGCCGGAGUUCCAAACUCUUUGAAUUAUGUGAAGUCAGAGAAAACAAGCAAUAUAUAAAAACUUUCAACAAUGGAUCUCU
This 215-nucleotide unclassified non-coding RNA is filed under the name soil metagenome. RNAcentral's name for it is "partial contains 5.8S ribosomal RNA, internal transcribed spacer 2, and large subunit ribosomal RNA". The record is from RNAcentral.